Molecule: long non-coding RNA, 1024 nt
Organism: Athalia rosae (coleseed sawfly)
Lineage: Eukaryota; Metazoa; Arthropoda; Insecta; Hymenoptera; Athaliidae
Exons: 5
Source: RefSeq, a predicted model, not a curated record
AGGAAGUCGCAAAAAAGCUCGGAGCAAACUCGUCUCCUAUUUCGACGAGUUACUAACGUUUGCGCAUAGUCCCUUAAUUUCAAAAUGGACCCCGCCGCCGGAUUGAACGUGAAUCAAAUUGGCAGAGCAGAUGUUAAUUUAAACGGGUUAAUUAAUAGUAUAUUCGGACGGAUAAAGAGUAUUUAUACAGCAGUGCAUUGAGAAUAGUUUGAAAAUCAACGGUAUGGCACUGCGAGUAUAUCACGUUAUUUUGCGAAUGCUCAACCUCUACUCUAACGAUUGUAUGACAGCUCCCAGACGUUUGCACCAGAUGAGAUCCCUAUGCGUGCUGACACUCAAUUAUACAAUUAGUAAAGUGAAUACUACUGGAAGUAAAUGUCACCAUUUCGGAGUAGAAGAAUCAAAGUGCAUCCUCGAGAGCAGAGGGGCUAGAAUGACGGCUAGAACAUUGGAUUCAAUCUAUAGAAGAGUCUUAUCAUACUUGGUUGUUUUUUGAAAUGAAUACUGGAAGCGUUGACCACUGCUAUUCGUUCCAUUCUUCCAGAUCGAACUGUAUUCGUCCCAGGGGAGAAUGCAAAGCUGAAACGACAGAGUGCUUGCGGUAUACGUCAGAUGUUAUUAUUACACCCCUGUGUACCUUGGCGGAAAGUCAGUGCCAGUGUGUCGCUGGGCAAGGUCCAGCUGCCCACCGCGAGCAUGUUGUUGCUCUGCUUCUGAAAACGACACAGAGAGUUUGAGAAAGAGAAAUCAUACUUCCUAGUACAUAUAUCAUUUUAAGAACUGCAAACAUUCCACAACCCAUGGAUAUGAAAUGCAAAUCUGCUGGAGACUUGGAGUUCUACGCAAAAAGAAUCGUAACCACAGGAUCCAAAAUGCGUACAACAACUUUCGUGGAUUUCAUUACAGCCGUAUGCCUUCCAAGCAUACUAUUAUGCCGGUCUUCACCUUCGGCAUAUGAAGCUUAAAUUCGGAUUCCUGAGAUCAAAAUACAUGAGGAUAGCGUGGGGAACCCUUCCAAAAAAAA